RNAcentral lists this unclassified non-coding RNA (264 nucleotides) under uncultured Coprinopsis. Its description in RNAcentral is "sequence contains ITS1". The record is from RNAcentral. Lineage: Eukaryota; Fungi; Basidiomycota; Agaricomycetes; Agaricales; Psathyrellaceae.
UCGAAUAAAUCUGGCUCUUGGGUUGUAGCUGGCUUGUCCGCGAGCAUGUGCACGCCUGGGUCACCUUUAUCUAUCCACCUGUGCACACACUGUAGUCCUGGAUACCUCUCGUCGAAAAGACGGAUGCAGAGGCUGCUGCUUUGCUGUCAAAGGCAAUUGUCGGCUUCUCUCUGAAUUUCCAGGGCUACGAAUUACUCUUUACACACCCCAAACGAAUGUAACAGAAUGUAUUCACUAGGCCUUUGUUUGCCUAUAAACCUAAUA